Molecule: ribosomal RNA, 333 nt
Filed under: uncultured bacterium
Lineage: Bacteria
Description: bacterial SSU rRNA
Rfam family: Bacterial small subunit ribosomal RNA
Source: RNAcentral
AGUGUAGGCGGGAUCGUAAGUUAGGAGUUUAAUACAUGGGCUUAACCCAUGAGCUGCUUUUAAUACUGCGGUUCUUGAGUAUGGGAGAGGGCGAUGGAAUUCCAGGUGUAGCGGUGGAAUGCGUAGAUAUCUGGAAGAACACCAGUAGCGAAGGCGGUCGCCUGGCCCAAUACUGACGCUGAUGCUCGAAAGCGUAGGGGAGCAAACAGGAUUAGAUACCCUGGUAGUCCUAGCCGUAAACGAUGGACACUAGUUGCUGGAGGAGUCAAUCCUUUCGGUGACGAAGCUAACGCAUUAAGUGUCCCGCCUGGGGAGUACGUUCGCAAGGAUGAA